This 281-nucleotide unclassified non-coding RNA is filed under the name Glomeraceae sp. Its description in RNAcentral is "partial contains 5.8S ribosomal RNA and internal transcribed spacer 2". The stretch from base 1 to 71 matches the Rfam family "5.8S ribosomal RNA", at positions 84 to 154 of the family's 154-position model. The record is from RNAcentral. Lineage: Eukaryota; Fungi; Glomeromycota; Glomeromycetes; Glomerales; Glomeraceae.
GUGAAUCAUCAAAUCUUUGAACGCAAAUUGCACUUUCUGGUAUUCCGGAAAGUAUGCCUGUUUGAGGGUCAGGUGAAUAAAAAUCGGUGUUGUUGCUGCUUUUCGUGGUGACGCGUCGGAAUUGAGUUGUCAUACCUUCGGUUAAGUGACUUAAAAUUUUGCAUGAUUUUCGAACGUAUUUAAAUCGCUUACGUACGUUUGAGAUAUCGAAUGCUUAUUAGGUUCGGUCAUUCCCAUGAUUCUGGCCUAUAAUUUUUCAUUAAAUUAACUCAAAUCCGGUA